RNAcentral lists this ribosomal RNA (497 nucleotides) under uncultured bacterium. Its description in RNAcentral is "partial 16S ribosomal RNA". It matches the Rfam family "Bacterial small subunit ribosomal RNA", at positions 28 to 507 of the family's 1533-position model. The record is from RNAcentral.
GAUGAACGCUGGCGGCGUGCCUAAUACAUGCAAGUCGAGCGGACGGACGCGGCUCUUGCUUCUCUGAUGUUAGCCGAAGAGGGGUGUGUAACGCGUGGAUACCCUACCUAUCUGUCUGGUAUCACUUCGGGAAACCGGAGCUUAUCCGGGAUAAUCUUUUGAACCGCAUGGGUCGAAAGUGAGAGUCGGUGUUGCUGGCACUUCUAGAUGGAUCCGCGCUGGAUGAGGUGGUUGGUGAGGUCAAGGCUUACCAAGGCUACGAGGCGUGGCCGACGUGAGAGAGUGAUAGGCCACCUGGGAACGUAGACACGGACCAGACUCCUACGGGAGGGAGCAGUAGGGAACCUGCCGCAAUGGGCGAGAGCCUGACGGAGCAACGCGGCGUGAGUGAUGACGGUCUUCGGUGCGUAAAACUCUGUUACUAGGGAAGAACAGAUGUGUAAGUAACUGUGCACAUCGUGACGGUACUUAAUCAGAAAGCAACGGCUAACUACGUG